Molecule: non-coding RNA, 857 nt
Organism: Phascolarctos cinereus (koala)
Lineage: Eukaryota; Metazoa; Chordata; Mammalia; Diprotodontia; Phascolarctidae
Source: RefSeq, a predicted model, not a curated record
AGGGAGGGGGAACAUACUUGAGCAUAUCAAGGGGAAACAUGUAAGGAAAGGUGUAACCUGGGAAGGGAUAGACCAAUCCCAGCCUGGGAGGUUUUGCACAGAAUUCAACUGCAUAAAAGCACACUUGCCCUUGCACUCAGGGCCCACCCCUCCUGAAGAGGGGUGGAGCCUGCUUCUGGCCAGAAACUAAAUUUUUGGUGUCAAGCCUAUUUCUAACAAUUUGGCACCCAAUGUGGGGCUUGAUCUAGACUUCAGAGGGCACAAGGUAAGACAUCCCGGGGAAGAGGUGAAUUGAGCCUUUCCCAACCGAACUCCUGAUCUUGGACCACGUUGAAGAAGUCCAGGGGAUUGGGGAAGCCGCCGGCAGACCACAAGACAAUAUAUUGGGCAAAGGAUAGAAGAAACUCAGCCUUAUCAUUUUCCAAAUUCUGUCCAUGUUGCAUAUGGAUUUUGAGAGAGACUCAGACACAUAUGGUUAAGGGAAGCAGAACAAUGGAGUUAUACAACAACAGCCAAUUAGAAGGAUAUCUGAGGCUCAGAGAUGCUUGACAUGGUGAACUCUAGCUGAAUUUGGAAAUUCCUGUAGUUACCAGAAACCACAGAACCAGACUUGAUCAGCUCACAGGCAAUCUUGAGCAGAAGCUGCAGACUCAAACCUUUCUCAGGAGUUUCUAAACAUCCUGCUGCCUGGUUUAUUGUGUCUACAGAUGUUUUCUCCCUGAAACUCUCACUCUCUGCCUUAAAAUCUCUAGAAACUAUAUUAUCUCACCCCUUUUUCUACUACCCUUUGAGCAGCUGAGAACUCUUUCUCCCUUCCUGCUUCUUCAUAUGAUCUUCUCUCCCCUGAAAGCCUUUUC